GAGUUUGAUCGUGGCUCAGGACGAACGCUGGCGGCGUGCUUAACACAUGCAAGUCGAACGGUAAGGCUCCAGCUUGCUGGGGUACACGAGUGGCGAACGGGUGAGUAACACGUGGGUGACCUGCCCUGCACUUCGGGAUAAGCCUGGGAAACUGGGUCUAAUACCGGAUAGGACCGCACCGUGAGGGUGUGGUGGAAAGUUUUUUCGGUGUGGGAUGGGCCCGCGGCCUAUCAGCUUGUUGGUGGGGUAAUGGCCUACCAAGGCGGCGACGGGUAGCCGGCCUGAGAGGGUGGACGGCCACAUUGGGACUGAGACACGGCCCAGACUCCUACGGGAGGCAGCAGUGGGGAAUAUUGCACAAUGGGCGGAAGCCUGAUGCAGCGACGCCGCGUGGGGGAUGACGGCC
This 406-nucleotide ribosomal RNA is filed under the name uncultured microorganism. RNAcentral's name for it is "bacterial SSU rRNA". It matches the Rfam family "Bacterial small subunit ribosomal RNA", at positions 9 to 416 of the family's 1533-position model. The record is from RNAcentral.